Poeciliopsis prolifica (blackstripe livebearer) is the source of this 1892-nucleotide RNA transcript. RefSeq lists it as uncharacterized. The record is from RefSeq and is a predicted model, not a curated record. The transcript has 5 exons. NCBI's taxonomy places the organism in Eukaryota, Metazoa, Chordata, Actinopteri, Cyprinodontiformes, Poeciliidae.
UGUCUCGUGACGUCAGAACAGGCUGUUGUUGUUGACCACAGUGCGCUUUUUAGCAUUGAUCUUUGCGCUCUUUCCUCUCAAUUGGCCUGUUUUUAAAUUAAUUCACCCUGUCAUGGUGUUUACCUGCGUCAUCCAGGGCUGCGGGAAAAGACCCGAGCCGUACGCGAGGAGCCUGCACGGAUUCCCGAAUAACCUGGAGACAAUAAAAGCCUGGAACGAGUUCGUGAAGCGGACCAAACCGCACUGGAACGGCAACACUCCUUCAUCGAGGAUCUGCAGCGAGCAUUUCCAGCCGACAUGUUACAGAAACCACAUGGCCUGGUCGAUGGGAUGCGUCAGGACCCUGGAUCUGAUCGAUGACUUUCAGGUGCCAACGAUUUAUCCUGCUGUGGCUGAGAAAAAUGCUCCAUCGCCCACCAAGGAUAAUCCCAAAGCAGACAUGCGCAUACAGACCCCAGCAGGUAGAUCCACCCUGCGAGCAGCAGAGGAGAUAAAACAGGAGGAGGAAACGCACUGCUCAGGAUCCACAGACACCCUUAUACAGGGAUGUCAUGUAAAGACUGAGUACCAGGUGAUGUACUUUGUAAGACAUGCGGCGACCCAGACGGACCCUCCAUCCAUUGCCACAAACACACGAUCAGUCGGCACACAGCUGACCAGGUUAUCCCGAAGUACAGGUUCACAGGUGAAAAUGGGUCGAGAUUAUGGUGUCUGUACAGUUCCCUUAAAAACUCCUCAGCUGCUCUUACAACCCACUUUGGUAAAAAGACCAUCUAAGAGACUUCGAUUUGCCCUGGAAUAUGAGGAGGAACUCAUCACAUCGACAGCAGUUCAGGUCAAAACCAGUUCAUCGUGAACCUACGGACCGUUUGGGUGCAGCAGAGAAUAUAAAAGAAUGUCAUGUAAAGUCUGAGUACCAGGUGAUGUACUUUGUAACACAUGUGGCGUCCCAAACCGACCCUCCGUCCAUUUCCCCAAACACACCAUCAGUCGGCACACAGGUGACCAGGAUACCCCGACAAAUUAAAGUUCAAACUACAUGCUCACAAGUGAUAUUUAACAGUCAACAUCACAUUAUCUGCACAGACCCCUUAAAGUCACCACUGCUGCUCCUACAACCACCUCUGGUAAAAAGACCAUCCAAGAGACUUCGACUUGAACUGGAAUAUGAGGAGAAAGCAGUUGAGGACAAGACCAGUUCAACAUGAACCUGUGGACCAUUCUGGUGCAGCAGUCAUACCUCUUGGAACAGAGAACAAAAAAAGCAGAUGUCCAUGUAGCUUUUGUCUUUGGUGCAGGGAAAAUAUUUAUUCAGCACCUUGUCAUAAAUGACAUAAAACUAGGUUUUAUGCCACCACUAGAAACUGCAAUGCUUGCUGGCAAUAUGUAUUGGAUACAUAUUGCCCUUCCAAUAUGCAAGGCUGUGUUACUAUUGCACAAUUACUGCUGCAUGUUUUGUAAUGUUCACUGUGAUAAAAACUACAAGAACUACACACAUUUCUGUUCUGCAGAAGUCAUGCGUUUCCGGUGGAAAUGCUGAAGGAAUCACCCAGAUGAGUGUCACAAUUCAGGAGUCUCAGCAAGUCCUGGAAGCUGGUGUGUGCAGAUGCACUAAGACUUAGAUCCCUCAUUAGUUUGAAGUUUUGACCUUUUCAUAAAGGCCCAGCUUUCCUUUUAAUUUUUAUGCCGUAGAUUGGAGUUAGUAGAAACUUUUACAUGAUUGUUAAACUUCCUAAUACUACCACAGCCACCUCACUAUGAAUUACUUGAGAAGUUGUUUUCAGUAGUUAGAUAUCACCUAAAUAUCUGCUUUAUAAAUAAGCAAAUGAAAACUUUAAAUUUUGCUUUGAUGAGAAUUAAAAUAUAAAAUGCAUGUUUGAUAGGUUAGGCCC